RNAcentral lists this transfer RNA (69 nucleotides) under Ictidomys tridecemlineatus (thirteen-lined ground squirrel). RNAcentral's name for it is "Spermophilus tridecemlineatus (thirteen-lined ground squirrel) tRNA". It matches the Rfam family "tRNA". Rfam says of the family: Transfer RNA (tRNA) molecules are approximately 80 nucleotides in length. Their secondary structure includes four short double-helical elements and three loops (D, anti-codon, and T loops). Lineage: Eukaryota; Metazoa; Chordata; Mammalia; Rodentia; Sciuridae. The record is from Rfam by way of RNAcentral.
GGGGUUGGGGCUCAGUGAUAGAGCGCUUGUCUCAUACGCAUGAGGCCCUGGGUUCGAUCCUCAGCACCA